UGGGGAAUAUUGGACAAUGGGCGAAAGCCUGAUCCAGCCAUGCCGCGUGUGUGAAGAAGGUCUUCGGAUUGUAAAGCACUUUAAGUUGGGAGGAAGGGCAGUAAGCGAAUACCUUGCUGUUUUGACGUUACCGACAGAAUAAGCACCGGCUAACUCUGUGCCAGCAGCCGCGGUAAUACAGAGGGUGCAAGCGUUAAUCGGAAUUACUGGGCGUAAAGCGCGCGUAGGUGGUUCGUUAAGUUGAAUGUGAAAGCCCCGGGCUCAACCUGGGAACGGCAUCCAAAACUGGCGAGCUAGAGUAGGGCAGAGGGUGGUGGAAUUUCCUGUGUAGCGGGGAAAUGCGUAGAUAUAGGAAGGAACACCAGUGGCGAAGGCGACAACCUGGGCUCAUACUGACACUGAGGUGCGAAAGCGUGGGGAGCAAACAGG
This 429-nucleotide ribosomal RNA is filed under the name Pseudomonadota bacterium. RNAcentral describes it as "Proteobacteria bacterium partial 16S ribosomal RNA". It matches the Rfam family "Bacterial small subunit ribosomal RNA", at positions 355 to 776 of the family's 1533-position model. Lineage: Bacteria; Pseudomonadati; Pseudomonadota. The record is from RNAcentral.